CAGAAACCUAGGUCCACCAGAAUCCCUUG
This 29-nucleotide non-coding RNA is filed under the name Mus musculus (house mouse). Lineage: Eukaryota; Metazoa; Chordata; Mammalia; Rodentia; Muridae. The record is from RNAcentral.